ACCGUUGCGUUAGCUGCCUCAUUGCGGUUAGCGCACUACCUUCGGGUGAACCAACUCCCAUGGAGUGACGGGCGGUGUGUACAAGGGCCGGGAACGUAUUCACCGCAACAUGCUGAUCUGCGAUUACAAUCGAUUCCCACUUCUUGCGCUCGAGUUGCACAGUGCAAUCCGAACUGAGAUGGCUUUUGUAUAUGGCUCGACAUCGCUGUCUCGCUGCCCACUGUCGCCACCAUUGUAGCACGUGGGUAGCCCACCCCGAAAGGGCGAUGAGGACUUGACGUCAUCCCCACCUUCCUCUCGGCUUAUCACCGGCGGUCCCCUUAAAGUGCCCAACUAAAUGCUGGCAACUAAGGGGGAGGGUUGCGCUCGUUGCGGGACUUAACCCAACAUCUCACGACACAAGCUGACUACCGACAUGCAUGACCUGUUCUGGGGCCAGCCUAACUGAAGGACAUCGUCUCCAAUGCCCAUACCCCGAAUGUCAAGAGCUGGUAAGGUUCUGCGCGUUGCUUCGAAUUAAACCACAUGCUCCACCGCUUGUGCGGGCCCCCGUCAAUUCCUUUGAGUUUUAAUCUUGCGACCGUACUCCCCAGGCGGAAUGUUUAAUGCGUUAGCUGCGCCACCGAACAGUAUACUGCCCGACGGCUAACAUUCAUCGUUUACGGCGUGGACUACCACGGUAUCUAAUCCUGUUUGCUCCCCACGCUGUCUCACCUCAUCGUCAGUAAUGGACCACUAAACCGCCGUCGCCACUGGUGUUCCUCCGAAUAUCUACGAAUUUCUCCUCUACACUCGGAAUUCCACUUACCUCUUCUAUACUCAGAUACCCACUAUCAAACGGCAGUUCAGCAGGUGAGCUGCGGGAUUUCACCCCUGACUUAAAUAUCCGCCUACGUGCACUUUACUACCCAGUAAUUACUGAACGACGCU
Molecule: ribosomal RNA, 930 nt
Filed under: Rhizobium sp.
Lineage: Bacteria; Pseudomonadati; Pseudomonadota; Alphaproteobacteria; Hyphomicrobiales; Rhizobiaceae
Description: partial 16S ribosomal RNA
Source: RNAcentral